Gopherus evgoodei (Goodes thornscrub tortoise) is the source of this 102-nucleotide long non-coding RNA. RefSeq lists it as uncharacterized. The record is from RefSeq and is a predicted model, not a curated record. NCBI's taxonomy places the organism in Eukaryota, Metazoa, Chordata, Testudines, Testudinidae. The transcript is spliced from 3 exons.
UAUUUUGCACUAAUUACUCAUAGAGGUUAAGACCAGAAGGGACCACCAGAUCAUCUAGUCUGGCUUCCUGUAAAUCACAGGCCACUAACACCCCCAGCCACC